This is a long non-coding RNA of Haliotis rubra (blacklip abalone), 149 nucleotides long. RefSeq lists it as uncharacterized. Lineage: Eukaryota; Metazoa; Mollusca; Gastropoda; Lepetellida; Haliotidae. The record is from RefSeq and is a predicted model, not a curated record. The transcript has 3 exons.
CUUUUGGGUCCUUGGGCUUCAAAGCCUCGACCUUUGUUUCUUUAGGUUUCAAAGCUUCAACUUUCUGUACUUUGGGCAUCAAAGCCUCAAGCUUUGUUUCUUUAGGUUUUGUGACCUCUGGUUUGACCUCCGGAGGUUUGGCAGGUUCU